Molecule: unclassified non-coding RNA, 550 nt
Filed under: Limosilactobacillus fermentum
Lineage: Bacteria; Bacillati; Bacillota; Bacilli; Lactobacillales; Lactobacillaceae
Description: Lactobacillus fermentum partial contains 16S ribosomal RNA, 16S-23S ribosomal RNA intergenic spacer, and 23S ribosomal RNA
Rfam family: Bacterial small subunit ribosomal RNA (bases 1-173)
Source: RNAcentral
AGACGAGAGAUGUUCCGGGCCUGAUCACACCGCCCGUCACCCUUGAGAGUUUGUAACACCCAAAGUCGGUGGGGUAACUUUUUAGGAGCCAGCCGCCUAAGGUGGGACAGAUGAUUAGGGUGAAGUCCUAACUGGGUAGCCGUAGGAGAACCUGCGGCUGGAUCACCUCCUUUCUAAGGAAUUAAUCGGAAACCUACACAUAUGUCCAAACAGUGUUCAGUUUUGAGGGGUUUACCUCUCAGCUUGCACUUUGAAAACUACAUAAUAUCAACUUCUAAUACACUCAAUAAAACCGAGAACACCGCGUUAUUUGAGUUUUUCACAACUAAUAUUCCUGUUCUCACCUACCUUGAUUGAUCACCACAUCUUACACGGUUCAGUCCCAUUGGGAGUGGGUUUAAUGCCUUGAAACUAGUAUCCGCAUUAAGGACGGCUUCAACACCUUUUACCUGUAGGAAGAGGCUAACUCCCGUUAUCACCUCAGGUAGCUGAAUGGGGGACCCAAUGCCUCGGCUAUGAAACUUGGGCGUCUACUAUAUAUCAUGACCCC